AUCACAACACAAUUUAUGAAUAAUUCAAACAAAUAAAUUACGCUCGAUGAAAAGAGUAAAAGGACCGACGAAAGGAACGAAGAGAGUAACAAAAACCUAUUUCUGUGAAUAAAUAUAUCGAUCAGAUACAUCGAUCUUCAUAAAUACACUAAAACUAAGGCCAUUUAUUCUGUACUUAAUUAUUUUAAGAUUUUAAGAUUUUGUUAAAAGGUUAAGAUUUUGUUUUAGCGUUUUCAGGCCGCGCCAUCUAUUCAGUGAUUUGUCAGUAAGUAAUAGAUGUCGCCAAACGAUCAAAAUAGUUUUUACCUGGUACGUACGUAUUAUUUUACAGACAGGAUCGUUUACCGAGAUCUUGUGGUUAAUGCCGCGCCGUUAUUGAAUGUUAUAAAUUGUAUAAAAUCGCUAUAAUUGAAAGGUGUAGAAUAUAAUCUAUGUAGAUUUUAAUAUAACCUAUUGUAGAAAUGGGAACGUUAAACUUUAUGAUAAAGUUUAAAUUCUAUUUGUACACAAUCGACAACUUCUUCUAAAUGAAUUGGAAUAAGCUGGUUGCACGGAAAGGAAGAAGUUUACGUGUACGAUAUUGCAUCGGAAUCCGAGUAGGCAAUGAUUUGAAAAGUUUCGAUAAAAGUAGACGGAGAGGAAAACGACGCCGGAUCGAUUGUACAAUCGUGUGUGAUUUCCGUUCAAAGCCGUCCAAAGCAAUCAAUGGAACACGUCGAUGGCGAAUACAGAGAGUCAACUCUACUUCGUUGUUCUUGCUAGAAGAAAAUCUAAUAUUUCGUUCUCAUGCUUGUCUGUCGUAAACUAUGUGCGACCAUACACAAUUUAUAGACAUUGGUAAAACAAUAGUUGAUAUUAAUUAGUCUAAAUGGUGAAACAAUCGGAAGCGGAUGAAAAUUGAGUCUGUAUAGACAUCCGAGUUCAGUGAUCCUAAAUGCAUCUGUUCCAUAUUGGGACUUUAGAACGAAAUAAAUGUGUAUUUUAGCUACGUUCUAAAGUGCAUAUAGUCCUUAUGGAGAUUUUAACUGUCAGCCGUUUAUCGCAGUUAAACGUGGAAUUACAAAGUUCCAUAAGAAUUAAAGUUUGUUUCCAACUAUGUUCUAAAAGUUUAUAUAAAUUUUACCACGUGUCAAUCAUCCGUUACUGACACACAUGGAACAAGAGCGAUACAGGUGUUCAAAUACUUGUGUACCAUAGAGUAUAUACCUCACUAGAGACGAAAGGAUUAAGGAAGUCCGCUUUGCUGUGUUUGCUAUAUAUAUAAUUCCGACGAAAAGGUAGAGUAGCAGAUUUCACAGCAGUUGGAAUUGUGGCAAAUAUUUCCGUAAUUUGCUUUUCGGAUUACCCCUUCCGAU
Long non-coding RNA from Bombus huntii, 1355 nucleotides. RefSeq lists it as uncharacterized. NCBI's taxonomy places the organism in Eukaryota, Metazoa, Arthropoda, Insecta, Hymenoptera, Apidae. The transcript has 3 exons. The record is from RefSeq and is a predicted model, not a curated record.